RNAcentral lists this ribosomal RNA (633 nucleotides) under Azohydromonas caseinilytica. RNAcentral describes it as "Azohydromonas sp. G-1-1-14 partial 23S ribosomal RNA". It matches the Rfam family "Bacterial large subunit ribosomal RNA", at positions 1 to 678 of the family's 2925-position model. The record is from RNAcentral. Lineage: Bacteria; Pseudomonadati; Pseudomonadota; Betaproteobacteria; Burkholderiales; Sphaerotilaceae.
GUUAUAGGGUCAAGUGACUAAGUGCAUGUGGUGGAUGCCUAGGCGAUUACAGGCGACGAAGGACGUGAUAGCCUGCGAUAAGCUUCGGGGAGCUGGCAAAUUAGCUUUGAUCCGGAGAUUUCCGAAUGGGGAAACCCACCCGCAAGGGUAUCUUGUGCUGAAUACAUAGGCACAUGAGGCGAACCGGGUGAACUGAAACAUCUCAGUAGCUCGAGGAACAGACAUCAACCGAGAUUCCGAAAGUAGUGGCGAGCGAAAUCGGAGCAGCCUGACAGUGAUAGCAGGGGACUUAGCAAAACGGCAUGGAAAGGCCGGCGACAGUGGGUGAUAGCCCCGUAUGCGAAAAGACCCCUGUGGUACUGAGCUGUCGACAAGUAGGGCGGGACACGUGAAAUCCUGUCUGAAGAUGGGGGGACCAUCCUCCAAGGCUAAAUACUCGUAAUCGACCGAUAGUGAACCAGUACCGUGAGGGAAAGGCGAAAAGAACCCCGGGAGGGGAGUGAAAUAGAUCCUGAAACCGCAUGCAUACAAAAAGUCGGAGCCCUUCGGGGUGACGGCGUACCUUUUGUAUAAUGGGUCAGCGACUUACAUUCAGUGGCGAGCUUAACCGAAUAGGGCAGGCGCAGGGAAACC